This 427-nucleotide ribosomal RNA is filed under the name uncultured Prevotella sp. Its description in RNAcentral is "bacterial SSU rRNA". It matches the Rfam family "Bacterial small subunit ribosomal RNA", at positions 355 to 780 of the family's 1533-position model. The record is from RNAcentral. Lineage: Bacteria; Pseudomonadati; Bacteroidota; Bacteroidia; Bacteroidales; Prevotellaceae.
UGAGGAAUAUUGGUCAAUGGACGAGAGUCUGAACCAGCCAAGUAGCGUGCAGGAUGACGGCCCUCCGGGUUGUAAACUGCUUUUAGUUGGGAAUAAAAAGAUGACGUGUCAUCUAUUGUAGGUACCAUAUGAAUAAGGACCGGCUAAUUCCGUGCCAGCAGCCGCGGUAAUACGGAAGGUCCAGGCGUUAUCCGGAUUUAUUGGGUUUAAAGGGAGCAUAGGCCGCCCCUUAAGCGUGUUGUGAAAUGCCGCGGCUCAACCGUGGCACUGCAGCGCGAACUGGGGGGCUUGAGUGCACGCAACGCAGGCGGAAUUCGUGGUGUAGCGGUGAAAUGCUUAGAUAUCACGAAGAACUCCGAUUGCGAAGGCAGCUUGCGGGAGUGCGACUGACGCUGAAGCUCGAAGGUGCGGGUAUCGAACAGGAUUA